RNAcentral lists this ribosomal RNA (253 nucleotides) under uncultured bacterium. RNAcentral's name for it is "partial 16S ribosomal RNA". It matches the Rfam family "Bacterial small subunit ribosomal RNA", at positions 524 to 776 of the family's 1533-position model. The record is from RNAcentral.
UACAGAGGUCCCAAGCGUUGUUCGGAUUCAUUGGGCGUAAAGGGUGCGUAGGUGGCGUCGUAAGUCGGGUGUGAAAUCUCGGGGCUUAACUCCGAAACUGCAUUCGAUACUGCGGUGCUUGAGGACUGGAGAGGAGACUGGAAUUUACGGUGUAGCAGUGAAAUGCGUAGAGAUCGUAAGGAAGACCAGUGGCGAAGGCGGGUCUCUGGACAGUUCCUGACACUGAGGCACGAAGGCCAGGGGAGCAAACAGG